This is a long non-coding RNA of Hyaena hyaena (striped hyena), 192 nucleotides long. RefSeq lists it as uncharacterized. Lineage: Eukaryota; Metazoa; Chordata; Mammalia; Carnivora; Hyaenidae. The record is from RefSeq and is a predicted model, not a curated record. The transcript is spliced from 2 exons.
UUGCAAAUGGAACAGUUUUCUUAAUUUCUGGAGUUUGGGAAUUUUAAAGCGCCAAGUUUGGGCCGUUUCGACUUGCUCACAUUCCAGUUAUGUAACCAAAACAACGUGAGUUCGAUCCUCCAUGAGUCACACAAGCUGCACCAGGAUCCUUUCUCAGGGUCAAGAUUUGGGUCAAUCACAUCUUCACAAUUU